UUUCCUGCAGUCCAGUGGUUAAGACUCUGUGCUUCUAAUGCAAGGGGUUCAGGUUCAAUCCCUGGUAGGGGAA
RNAcentral lists this transfer RNA (73 nucleotides) under Ovis aries (sheep). It matches the Rfam family "tRNA". From Rfam's summary of the family: Transfer RNA (tRNA) molecules are approximately 80 nucleotides in length. The record is from Rfam by way of RNAcentral. Lineage: Eukaryota; Metazoa; Chordata; Mammalia; Artiodactyla; Bovidae.